RNAcentral lists this long non-coding RNA (223 nucleotides) under Setaria italica (foxtail millet). RNAcentral describes it as "long non-coding RNA (SITA_LNC000596)". Lineage: Eukaryota; Viridiplantae; Streptophyta; Magnoliopsida; Poales; Poaceae. The record is from RNAcentral.
UCUUGAUGAUGAUAUAUCUAUACCUUUUGAUUGGUUCUAUGUUUGCUUAGAGUAAGUUGCUAACUUAGAUUGGAUAAUGAACUUAGAACCUGAGCUAAAACUUGAAAGUAGGGAUACACCUAGCGCUUUUGGCAAACAAACCCCUCAGCCAAAAAGCCUUGCAUGUCUAGAAGUGGUGGAGUAGCUUCCUCCCUAUCGGUUAAGUCUUGUUGAGCUUAGUAGC